AAUAGAUACCCAGGUAGUCCACGCCGUAAACGAUGAGUGCUAAGUGUUAGGGGGUUUCCGCCCCUUAGUGCUGCAGCUAACGCAUUAAGCACUCCGCCUGGGGAGUACGGUCGCAAGACUGAAACUCAAAGGAAUUGACGGGGGGCCCGCACAAGCGGUGGAGCAUGUGGUUUAAUUCGAAGCAACGCGAAGAACCUUACCAGGUCUUGACAUCCCAUUGACCACUAUGGAGACAUAGUUUUCCCUUCGGGGACAACGGUGACAGGUGGUGCAUGGUUGUCGUCAGCUCGUGUCGUGAGAUGUUGGGUUAAGUCCCGCAACGAGCGCAACCCUUGUUCUUAGUUGCCAGCAUUUAGUUGGGCACUCUAAGGUGACUGCCGGUGACAAACCGGAGGAAGGUGGGGAGUGACGUCAAAUCAUCAUGCCCCUUAUGACCUGGGCUACACACGUGCUACAAUGGAUGGUACAAAGGGCUGCAAGACCGCGAGGUCAAGCCAAUCUCAUAAAACCAUUCUCAGUUCGGAUUGUAGG
This 531-nucleotide ribosomal RNA is filed under the name uncultured bacterium. RNAcentral's name for it is "bacterial SSU rRNA". It matches the Rfam family "Bacterial small subunit ribosomal RNA", at positions 777 to 1304 of the family's 1533-position model. The record is from RNAcentral.